AGUGAACGCUGGCGGUAUGCCUAACACAUGCAAGUCGAACGGCAGGACAGUAAGAGCUCGCUCUUACGGGUGGCGAGUGGCGGACGGGUGAGGAGUACAUCGGCAUCUACUUUUUCGUGGGGGAUAACGUAGGGAAACUUACGCUAAUACCGCAUACGACCUACGGGUGAAAUCAGGGGAGCUUCGCACCUUGCGCGAUUGAAUGAGCCGAUGGCGGCUUAGCUUGUUUGCGUGGUAAAGGCCCACCAAGGCGACGAUCCGUAGCUGGUCUGAGAGGAUGGUCCGCCCCACUGGAACCGGGAAAAGGUCCAGACUCCCUAGGGAAGGAGCAGUUGGGAAUAUUGGCGAAAUGGGGGAAGCCUGAUCCAGGCAUCGCGGGGGGGUGAAGAAGGCUUUCGGGUUGUAAAACCUUUGUGUUGGGAGAGAAACACAUGAGGUUAAAACCACGCUGGUCUGAAGGUAACCUAAGAAUAAGCCCAGGCUUAAUUCGUG
RNAcentral lists this ribosomal RNA (492 nucleotides) under uncultured bacterium. RNAcentral's name for it is "partial 16S ribosomal RNA". It matches the Rfam family "Bacterial small subunit ribosomal RNA", at positions 29 to 507 of the family's 1533-position model. The record is from RNAcentral.